RNAcentral lists this non-coding RNA (142 nucleotides) under Neotoma lepida (desert woodrat). RNAcentral describes it as "Eukaryotic large subunit ribosomal RNA". It matches the Rfam family "Eukaryotic large subunit ribosomal RNA", at positions 813 to 954 of the family's 3401-position model. The record is from Rfam by way of RNAcentral. Lineage: Eukaryota; Metazoa; Chordata; Mammalia; Rodentia; Cricetidae.
GACCUGAAAGAUGGUGAACUAUGCUUGGGCAGGGUGAAGCCAGAGGAAACUCUUGUGGGGGUCCGUAGCGGUCCUGACCUGCAAGUCGGUAAUCUGACCUGGCUAUAGGGGUGAAAGACUAAUUGAACCAUCUAGUAGCUGG